This 253-nucleotide ribosomal RNA is filed under the name uncultured bacterium. RNAcentral's name for it is "partial 16S ribosomal RNA". It matches the Rfam family "Bacterial small subunit ribosomal RNA", at positions 524 to 776 of the family's 1533-position model. The record is from RNAcentral.
UACGGAGGGUGCAAGCGUUAGUCGGAAUUACUGGGCGUAAAGGGUGCGUAGGCGGAUAAGUAAGUCAGACGUGAAAUUCCGGGGCUCAACCCCGGAGCUGCAUCUGAAACUGCAUAUCUAGCAGGAUGGCGGAGAAAACGGAAUUCCAUGUGUAGCGGUGAAAUGCGUAGAUAUAUGGAGGAACACCGGUGGCGAAGGCGGCAUCCUGGACCGGUAUUGACGCUGAGGCGCGAAAGCCAGGGGAGCAAACGGG